CAGCAGCAGUCCAUGAAGGUGACCUGAGCUCCAAGCAGAGGACUCUGACACACCAGGUCUGCCGUGACGUGCUGCCAGCACACAGACAGGUUCUCAUCUGGAGCACAGACAACCAGAGAGAGGACGACGCUUUAACAGUGUGGUAUCCUGCAGCAGAGAUGAGCGGCAGGCUGCAGAGGUCUGGGGCCUUAUCAGACAGCUGCCUCUGGAGACACUAAAGGCUUUACACUACUUGUAAAAACUGAAGACAGACACUUACCCACACAAGCCUUCCCGUCGCCGGUGGAGGUGAAGCCCUGGUCACACACACACAGGCUGGAGGUUCGGUACCCAGGCGGACAGUCACACCUGAACGAGCCAAUGGUGUUCACGCACACCCGCUCUGCCUCACACGCCCCCUCGCUGGCACACUCAUCUACAUCUGCAGACAGGAGAGAGGAGCCGUCCUUGCUGCUGUAUCCAGGCUGACAGGACACGCAGCGGUGUUGUUCUGGAGCUUGUAACCAUGACGACAGACACAGCGGUAGCUUCCUGGUGUGUUUUCACAGCGACCAUUGGAGCAGGGAGCCUGGCGACAUUCGUCGAUGUCUGCAAAUAUGCAUCAUGACAG
This is a long non-coding RNA of Epinephelus lanceolatus (giant grouper), 610 nucleotides long. RefSeq lists it as uncharacterized. Lineage: Eukaryota; Metazoa; Chordata; Actinopteri; Perciformes; Serranidae. The record is from RefSeq and is a predicted model, not a curated record.